UCUCUCUCUAUGUAGUGUUGUGGUGUCUCUAUGUAGUGUUGUCUCUAUGUUGUGGUGUCUCUAUGUAGUGUUGUCUCUCUCUAUGUAGUGUUGUGGUGUCUCUAUGUAGUGUUGUCUCUCUCUAUGUAGUGUUGUGGUGUCUCUCUCUAUGUAGUGUUGUGGUGUCUCUAUGUAGUGUUGUCUCUGUCUCUAUGUUUGUUCUUAAUUGACUUGCCUUUAAAUAUAUAUAUUUUAAAUUACCUUAACCCUAGUACAAAACAGACAACUUUGAAAUAAUCAAAAAAUUGCAUCCGUACAAGUUUUUGACCUUGUUUAUGUAGCGUUAACCUAACUUGUUUUGACCCCAAUAUUUCAAUUAGCUGUGUAUCCUGUUUGAAGGGAACACGUUUGAUAUUUUCCUGACAGUUUGUGCUAUGGACUAUUUGUGCCAAUCAGAUGUGUUACUAAUAGUGUGUUUCUCUGCCUUCCCAUUGACAGGGGAGACUUGUCAAAUCAUUUUAUUUUCUUGUCUGUGGUCCAAUACAUUCUGGAUUCAUAUGAUUAAUAACCUAUUAUUCAUAUAAUGAGAUCAAUACCAGGGAUCAAUUUAAAACAACCAUUUCAAUUAAGCGUAGAUUACUCUUGAAUGUUGUAUAAAAAAAAUCCAAAUAAUUCUCAAUAAAUGCAAUAUGUACAGUCAUCAGUUUCCAUGUAAAGACUUCUACACUGUAGGCUACCGACACCGUCUCCACUCUGUGCCGGCGUCUGUCUCCACUCUGUGCCGGCGUCUGUCUCCACUCUGUGCCGGCGUCUGUCUCCACUCUGUGCCGGCGUCUCCAAGCUGUGCCGGCGUCUCCAAGCUGUGCCGGCGUCUCCACGC
Molecule: long non-coding RNA, 859 nt
Organism: Oncorhynchus tshawytscha (Chinook salmon)
Lineage: Eukaryota; Metazoa; Chordata; Actinopteri; Salmoniformes; Salmonidae
Source: Ensembl